CUCUUCGUUUUUUCAUAUUUCAUGCGUCUGAAAUAGAGCCAUUUUCAUCACACUUCAUCCACACUCCACUUCUUCACAAUCGAAUUUUUAUUCUCUUCUCAAUUAAGUUUAUCCCAAUCAUUAACCUCAAUCGAAUCAUAUUCUUCUUCUUGGUCAAGGAUUUGCGAUCUCAGCGUGAAUCAUUCUCCAAAUUCCGAUUCUCCUUCUCGAUUUCAAUUUCGAUUUCGCAUUCUCAAAACUCUUGAAAGGUACCAAAAAUGCACUAUGGUGCCGUGGAAGUCAACAAACCUGCCAAAGAGUUUGAGGUCCACCCUUACUUCAAUCCAAUUUCGGAAGCACUUGGCGUUGCCCCUAUUCCAGGUGCUGCUGCUCUAGCUGGAAAGCUGAACCACCAAGGUAUUGAUGCGGUAUCUUUGUCACAAAUUAAAGAAGGUUUUAGUUUCCAAGGCAUGCGCAAUCAUAGUAUUAGCUUCAGAUGAAAAUGCUGAUCACAUAAAUUCUACACAUUCCAAUUUCUUCUCACUUAUCCAGACUUACCUUUCACGGCCUCUGACCCAAAAUUUACGGCCUCCAACCCAACAUUCCUCAAUUCUUCAAUUCAUAAAUCAAUAAGAAUUAAUCUCCAUUCAAUUUCACAUACUCCAUCACCUUUCAAUUGAAAUCACCUAACCAAAUCAAAUUCAUCAACCCAUCAAGUAAACAUACCAAUUCCAUCCAAAUACACAAUUCAAUCUUAUUCCUAGGGGCAUCUAACUUAGGACUUCAUGUUACAUUACAUGGUAUUUAAAUAAAACUUAAACUGUAUCUUAAUGACGGUAGUUCCAAACCCUUGAGUCCUUUCACGGGCAAUCCCAAUGUUCACCAAACCCACGCCACUUGAUCCAUGACUCAAUCCCAUAUCGACCAACAUAACAAUUUCGCUAUUCACAACAAAAGCCCACGAUUUCUCAACCUAGGAUUCAAAAGAUUGGAUAAUUGAAAGGGGAUAAAGCUUUUUUACCUUAACCUGUUGAGAUUGGUGAUGGAGCCCAAUAGCUCUUAUUAGAGCACCUCUAAACAAUCAAAAUCACAAGUUUUUUUAAAACCAAACUAAAAAUACGAAAUUAGAAAGAAUAGGAAAAUAGGCAUAGAAUUUGAAAUUUCUUACCACUUUAUUUAAAUAAAAUCAAAGAGGGUUUUGAGAUGAAUGUGUGGCCACAAAUGGCUUGUCAAUCGGAGUUAUGGAUAAAAAAUUAUGAGAAAUUGAAGAUUUGAUUGAGUUAGUAUUUUGUUUCUUUUUUCUCUCUUCUCUCAACGUGUUUCACUUCCAAAUGAGGGGUGAUGUGCUAAAGUUUUAGCUGAAUGGGAGUGUUAGUGAGUGGGCCUUGGUCCCAAUUAGGCCUGGUUUACUUGAUUUAUCUCGUUGGCCUGAUUUAGGGUCAAAAUCUUUAAAAUUAGUAUUAUAAUUUGUAUUCGAAUUAUUUUUGCUUCUCUAAAUUAUAAAUUUUUAACUUCUUAACUUCAUUCACUCAUAAAUUAAUUUUUUCACUCAAGUAUCAGACAGAUUUAAGUUGGUACAACUGGUUAAUUUACCAAUAUUCAUUUUUAUGUAAUUUUUUUAUAGAAAACUAUAUUUUCUCACUCGAAAAAAUUCUCUAAAUCUAAAUAUUAUCAUUAAAAUUUUAAAUUUCUAAGCGUUAAUUUUCGAUCUCGCCUGGACGCAUUU
Molecule: long non-coding RNA, 1705 nt
Organism: Arachis duranensis
Lineage: Eukaryota; Viridiplantae; Streptophyta; Magnoliopsida; Fabales; Fabaceae
Exons: 4
Source: RefSeq, a predicted model, not a curated record